UACGGGGGGGGCAAGCGUUGUUCGGAAUUACUGGGCGUAAAGGGCUCGUAGGCGGCCAACUAAGUCAGACGUGAAAUCCCUCAGCUUAACUGGGGAACUGCGUCUGAUACUGGAUGGCUUGGAUCCGGAAGAGGGAUGCGGAAUUCCAGGUGUAGCGGUGAAAUGCGUAGAUAUCUGGAGGAACACCGGUGGCGAAGGCGGCAUCCUGGGCCGGUAUUGACGCUGAGGCGCGAAAGCCAGGGGAGCAAACGGG
RNAcentral lists this ribosomal RNA (253 nucleotides) under uncultured bacterium. RNAcentral describes it as "partial 16S ribosomal RNA". It matches the Rfam family "Bacterial small subunit ribosomal RNA", at positions 524 to 776 of the family's 1533-position model. The record is from RNAcentral.